RNAcentral lists this ribosomal RNA (552 nucleotides) under Pichia sp. S612Y5. Its description in RNAcentral is "eukaryotic LSU rRNA". It matches the Rfam family "Eukaryotic large subunit ribosomal RNA", at positions 48 to 611 of the family's 3401-position model. Lineage: Eukaryota; Fungi; Ascomycota; Pichiomycetes; Pichiales; Pichiaceae. The record is from RNAcentral.
UAGCGGAGGAAAAGAAACCAACAGGGAUUGCCUCAGUAGCGGCGAGUGAAGCGGCAAGAGCUCAGAUUUGAAAUCGUGCUUUGCGGCACGAGUUGUAGAUUGCAGGUUGGAGUCUGUGUGGAAGGCGGUGUCCAAGUCCCUUGGAACAGGGCGCCCAGGAGGGUGAGAGCCCCGUGGGAUGCCGGCGGAAGCAGUGAGGCCCUUCUGACGAGUCGAGUUGUUUGGGAAUGCAGCUCCAAGCGGGUGGUAAAUUCCAUCUAAGGCUAAAUACUGGCGAGAGACCGAUAGCGAACAAGUACUGUGAAGGAAAGAUGAAAAGCACUUUGAAAAGAGAGUGAAACAGCACGUGAAAUUGUUGAAAGGGAAGGGUAUUGCGCCCGACAUGGGGAUUGCGCACCGCUGCCUCUCGUGGGCGGCGCUCUGGGCUUUCCCUGGGCCAGCAUCGGUUCUUGCUGCAGGAGAAGGGGUUCUGGAACGUGGCUCUUUGGAGUGUUAUAGCCAGGGCCAGAUGCUGCGUGCGGGGACCGAGGACUGCGGCCGUGUAGUCACGGA